Molecule: unclassified non-coding RNA, 296 nt
Filed under: uncultured fungus
Lineage: Eukaryota; Fungi
Description: partial contains 5.8S ribosomal RNA, internal transcribed spacer 2, and large subunit ribosomal RNA
Source: RNAcentral
AACGCAAAUUGCGCCCAAGGCUUCGGCCGAGGGCAUGUCUGCCUCAGCGUCGGCAUAACCCCAUCACCCACUACCUUAGUGAGUGGAUCUGGCAGUCCCAGUCAGGGUCAGCCGAAUUGCAGCGGUUGCUGUCAGGACCCGCCUUAGGCGUGGCCACUCAGUUUGGUAGGUAACCCCUGGUUGCAUGCCACUGUUGGCCGUUGUGGCCUGUUGUAGCACACCGGCAGGAAUUGAGGGACUCAGCACCCUCCUCACAUUUCGACCUGAGGUCAGGCAAGAUCACCCGCUGAACUUAA